UCCUGUGGUCCGCCGACCCCGGGGGCGUGAACUUCCUGUUCCUUGUUGGUCUGUUGCAGGAAGGACACCUGAGGGCCUUGCUCCUGGAGCUUCUGCAGAGGGGCUUUCUGCCCCGUCACAAUGAGCUGCUCCGAGAACACAGCCUCCCCCUGCCCAAGGUCAAGGGCGUCUCCUUCGACCAGGCCUGGAUGGACCUCUCCGAGGGGCACCUGCUGCUGACGGUUCCGGAGGAGUAGCCGGGCCUGAGAGGGCCAGUCCCUCCCACUGCCACGCACAACGGCCACGUCCCCAGUGGGAAGCUCCGGCCCCAGUGGGAAGCUCCGGCCCCAGUGGGAAGCUCUGGCGCAAUAAAGGCGAGUCCU
This 362-nucleotide long non-coding RNA is filed under the name Microcebus murinus (gray mouse lemur). RNAcentral describes it as "lncRNA (ENSMICG00000048365.1)". Lineage: Eukaryota; Metazoa; Chordata; Mammalia; Primates; Cheirogaleidae. The record is from RNAcentral.